AGUGGCGGACGGGUGAGUAACGCGUAAGAAUCUAACUUCAGGACGGGGACAACAGUUGGAAACGACUGCUAAUACCCGAUGUGCCGCAAGGUGAAACCUAAUUGGCCUGGAGAAGAGCUUGCGUCUGAUUAGCUAGUUGGUGGGGUAAAGGCCUACCAAGGCGACGAUCAGUAGCUGGUCUGAGAGGAUGAGCAGCCACACUGGGACUGAGACACGGCCCAGACUCCUACGGGAGGCAGCAGUGGGGAAUUUUCCGCAAUGGGCGAAAGCCUGACGGAGCAACGCCGCGUGAGGGAGGAAGGUCUUUGGAUUGUAAACCUCUUUUCUCAAGGAAGAAGUUCUGACGGUACUUGAGGAAUCAGCCUCGGCUAACUCCGUGCCAGCAGCCGCGGUAAUACGGGGGAGGCAAGUGUUAUCCGGAAUUAUUGGGCGUAAAGCGUCCGCAGGUGGUCAGCCAAGUCUGCCGUCAAAUCAGGUUGCUUAACGACCUAAAGGCGGUGGAAACUGGCAGACUAGAGAGCAGUAGGGGUAGCAGGAAUUCCCAGUGUAGCGGUGAAAUGCGUAGAGAUUGGGAAGAACAUCGGUGGCGAAAGCGUGCUACUGGGCUGUAUCUGACACUCAGGGACGAAAGCUAGGGGAGCAAAAGGGAUUAGAUACCCCUGUAGUCCUAGCCGUAAACGAUGGAUACUAGGCGUGGCUU
This 700-nucleotide ribosomal RNA is filed under the name uncultured bacterium. RNAcentral's name for it is "bacterial SSU rRNA". It matches the Rfam family "Bacterial small subunit ribosomal RNA", at positions 94 to 828 of the family's 1533-position model. The record is from RNAcentral.